Molecule: long non-coding RNA, 431 nt
Organism: Stegastes partitus (bicolor damselfish)
Lineage: Eukaryota; Metazoa; Chordata; Actinopteri; Pomacentridae
Exons: 3
Source: RefSeq, a predicted model, not a curated record
CCAGUGAGUUUCCUUCCUCACUGGAGCUGCGAUAUGAAGACCAGGGUGCAAAACUUGGAUUGGAAACUCCACAUAAGGAGGAAGCACAAGAUGAUGCCUUGGAUUUAGCCGGCCCACAUGAGUGAUAUGAAUAAGACACUGGACGAAAUACACACUUCUGGAAGCCUCGGAGAGAAAGCAGAGAUUUUUCAGAGUGGCAAGGGUAAUGUGAGUGGCUUUCCCAGCCCAGCCCUCAUCCCGUUGCAAGACCCUUUCCUGACACCAAAUGCCCAGAAGACCAGGACUAAGCCCUGCAAGGGGACCAGGAGCACCAAAGAGGGAGAGGAGUCCUUCUCUUCCCCUGUUCCAAACCCUUUUCCUGAGCUUCUCCCCUCAACCCUCGCCCCCCUCGUCUCUGAAUGUUUAUUACCAUGGACCAAAAGUAGUGCAUC